GUCCUAGCCCUAAACGGUGCUUGCUUGCUGUAAGUGGAAUCGACCCCACUUGUGGCGGAGCUAACGCGUUAAGCAAGCCGCCUGGGAAGUACGGUCGCAAGAUUAAAACUCAAAGAAAUUGACGGGGGCCUGCACAAGCGGUGGAGUAUGUGGCUUAAUUCGAUGCAACGCGAAGAACCUUACCUGGCCUUGACAUGUAGAUAGUAGAACCCUGAAAGGGGGACGAGCCCGCAAGGGCAGUUUACACAGGUGCUGCAUGGCUGUCGU
This 267-nucleotide ribosomal RNA is filed under the name uncultured bacterium. Its description in RNAcentral is "partial 16S ribosomal RNA". It matches the Rfam family "Bacterial small subunit ribosomal RNA", at positions 793 to 1055 of the family's 1533-position model. The record is from RNAcentral.